GUCAAGAAACCUCAAUUCAAAUCCUGCCAUAAACACUUGCCAGCUGUGUGAUAAUGGACACAUGACUCUGCUAUGCUCUGACAGUCUUCUCUCCCUCAGCUCCUAAAUGCUGGCCUUCUGUUCCAGUUGGACCAACCUUGAAGUAUUUUGAAGUUUUCUGGAUGCUACAUUUUAAGAUGUACUGUGACAAGCUCAAG
Molecule: long non-coding RNA, 197 nt
Filed under: Monodelphis domestica (gray short-tailed opossum)
Lineage: Eukaryota; Metazoa; Chordata; Mammalia; Didelphimorphia; Didelphidae
Description: lncRNA (ENSMODG00000037416.1)
Source: RNAcentral